CGUCAUACCCAAGAAGACUCGAGGCUGUAAUCGCUGCCAAAGAGAUCAUAGAUUGAGGUUGAGAACAGUCAUAUACAGCAGGGACCUCGAUUUCUGGCUUUCUCAUAUUUAUUCCAACACAAUAACACAAGACUUGGAAAUGUGGCAAUGAGACCAAGACAACGGUGAACAGAGCUGGCCACUGGCCUGGUCACGUCGCCUCAGAACUCAACAUCUCCACCUCUCCAUCUGCUAAAUGUCCUACUGUAUACUGAAUGAAAAUAAACAUCUGUAUCAAAACA
Non-coding RNA from Salmo salar (Atlantic salmon), 281 nucleotides. The record is from RefSeq and is a predicted model, not a curated record. NCBI's taxonomy places the organism in Eukaryota, Metazoa, Chordata, Actinopteri, Salmoniformes, Salmonidae.